CUCCGCGCAGGUAACAUGAAGGGAGCCAAGAGGAACAUGGUGCACUGGGUGCACAACAACGUCUCUGGUGCCUGCACUUCAGAAAUCCCCAUCAAUACAACUGUACUAACUUCACUUCACCGAAGAGUCUAAUCUGAAGCUUACCUUUGAAUGCCAUCGUAAACAUUACUCUCAACCCAAGGGACCGAUUAAGAAAACAUCAUAAUGUCUUAUGAUCGGAUUCUGUCCAUUGAAAAUCUGAGCGAUGUUCCAAAUCCAUGGAAGGGAUUCACUGUGAACCGCUGCUUAGUGCUGGCCCUGGUCGUCCUGCUUGUGACCUCAGGGGUGAAUGAACUGCACGAUGCCGUGGGCUCUUUUGUUGAGGAGACGGGUAUUAGAUCUUUCAUUAGGAGUCUGCAGGAUGGUUCAAUAACUCAGAUCUCCAUAUGGGAUAGUUUUAUGUGUUGGUGGGGAGCUGAAGAAGUCGGAGCGAUAAGGAGAAGAAAGAAGCCGAUUGGCCCCAAAGCCGUCCUGAAACCCAAAGCUAAAGAAUAAAAAAUGCACAGCUGCUGAAAGAAGAGUGAGAGGUCAAGAAACAGAGGUCAUUAGUCGUCACAACAGCAGGUCGACAAAAAAAAACAGUCGUCGGUAUAAUUGGCAUCUUAUUUUAACAUAAGGCUAGACAAUUUAAAAUUCAAAAGACAAAUGCAGAAAUAUCGAUCAACUUUAAUACAUAUUUUAAUCACUGAAUCAAACCACCAAUGUGCUCUUAAAGAAGAUAAGAGGUUUUGAAUAAGCAAUACGUUUUUUUACUACUCAGACAACUUCUUAUAAUAGAAGACGAUAAUACUGAUACUUGAAUUAUAUAGUAUCAAAUAUCUGUUAACACGUAUAUUUUUCAAUAAACCUGACUACCUGUGAGUGUGA
This is a long non-coding RNA of Scophthalmus maximus (turbot), 906 nucleotides long. RefSeq lists it as uncharacterized. The transcript is spliced from 6 exons. The record is from RefSeq and is a predicted model, not a curated record. Lineage: Eukaryota; Metazoa; Chordata; Actinopteri; Pleuronectiformes; Scophthalmidae.